UGGGGAAUUUUCCGCAAUGGGCGAAAGCCUGACGGAGCAAUGCCGCGUGGAGGAUGAAAGCCUGUGGGUCGUAGACUCCUUUUCUCAGAGAAGAAGAUCUGACGGUACCUGAGGAAUCAGCCUCGGCUAACUCUGUGCCAGCAGCCGCGGUAAGACAGAGGAGGCAAGCGUUAUCCGGAAUUAUUGGGCGUAAAGCGUUCGUAGGUGGUCUAACAAGUCUGGGGUUAAAGCCCGGAGCCCAACUCCGGAUCGGCCUUGGAAACUGUCAGACUCGAGUAAGGUAGGGGUUGCGGGAAUUCCCGGUGUAGCGGUGAAAUGCGUAGAUAUCGGGAAGAACACCAGCGGCGAAAGCGCGCAACUGGGCCAUUACUAACACUGAGGGACGAAAGCUAGGGGAGCGAAAGGGAUUAGAUACCCCUGUAGU
This 424-nucleotide ribosomal RNA is filed under the name uncultured Oscillatoriales cyanobacterium. Its description in RNAcentral is "bacterial SSU rRNA". It matches the Rfam family "Bacterial small subunit ribosomal RNA", at positions 355 to 794 of the family's 1533-position model. The record is from RNAcentral. Lineage: Bacteria; Bacillati; Cyanobacteriota; Cyanophyceae; Oscillatoriales.